UGGGGCUGCUUACCAUGCAAGUCGCACGGAUGGGGGCAACCCCAUUAGUGGCGGACGGGUGAGUAACGCGUAGGUAUCUAUCCUUGGGUGGGGGAUAACUGUGGGAAACUACAGCUAAUACCGCAGUGAUCCCUGAGGGGCAAAGGCGCAAGUCGCCUGAGGAGGAGCCUGCGUCCGAUUAGCUAGUUGGUGGGGUAAAGGCCUACCAAGGCUGCGAUCGGUAGCUGGUCUGAGAGGAUGAUCAGCCACACUGGGACUGAGACACGGCCCAGACUCCUACGGGAGGCAGCAGUGGGGAAUAUUGGACAAUGGGCGCAAGCCUGAUCCAGCAAUGCCGCGUGGGUGAAGAAGGUCUUCGGAUUGUAAAGCCCUUUCGGCGGGGACGAUGAUGACGGUACCCGCAGAAGAAGCCCCGGCUAACUUCGUGCCAGCAGCCGCGGUAAU
Molecule: ribosomal RNA, 444 nt
Filed under: uncultured bacterium
Lineage: Bacteria
Description: bacterial SSU rRNA
Rfam family: Bacterial small subunit ribosomal RNA
Source: RNAcentral